GCGGCUGUAGCUCAACGGGGCGAAAGCUAAGAGUGCCCGACUGUGACUCGGGAGACGGGGGUUCGACUCCCCUCAGCCGCCCCA
Molecule: transfer RNA, 84 nt
Filed under: marine sediment metagenome
Description: tRNA-His
Rfam family: tRNA
About the family: Transfer RNA (tRNA) molecules are approximately 80 nucleotides in length. Their secondary structure includes four short double-helical elements and three loops (D, anti-codon, and T loops).
Source: RNAcentral